This is a long non-coding RNA of Tachysurus vachellii, 331 nucleotides long. RefSeq lists it as uncharacterized. The record is from RefSeq and is a predicted model, not a curated record. NCBI's taxonomy places the organism in Eukaryota, Metazoa, Chordata, Actinopteri, Siluriformes, Bagridae. The transcript is spliced from 3 exons.
GUGUACCUUUGGACUUUCUUCACUCUUUUGUUUGUUGUAGGAAAAAGAAGAAAAAGAGGACCUGCCCUCUGUGGACAGAGAGCUCAGCAAGGCCGCCCGUGCACGAGCAAUACUGCAGAGGAUCCUGCACUUUCACAAAAGCAAGUUUGGGCUGCGGUCUGAUGCACAAUCCCUGUGCCAACACUGUAUAAAGCUGUGCCCCAUAGCGUGCCACAAUGUCGGCUCCAUCCUGAUUUGGCAAACGGCCGGCGCUCACGUCUCUGAGAGCUUCGUCAAAGGGCACAAGCUCAGCAGGAAAGGGCAGAUGGGGCAAGCCACGUCCCGAAUUACU